Molecule: ribosomal RNA, 646 nt
Filed under: uncultured Staphylococcus sp.
Lineage: Bacteria; Bacillati; Bacillota; Bacilli; Caryophanales; Staphylococcaceae
Description: bacterial SSU rRNA
Rfam family: Bacterial small subunit ribosomal RNA
Source: RNAcentral
CGAGCGAACAGACGAAGAGCUUGCUCCUCUGACGUUAGCGGCGGACGGGUGAGUAACACGUGGAUAACCUACCUAUAAGACUGGGAUAACUUCGGGAAACCGGAGCUAAUACCGGAUAAUAUAUUGAACUGCAUGGUUCAAUAGUGAAAGACGGUUUUGCUGUCACUUAUAGAUGGAUCCGCGCCGCAUUAGCUAGUUGGUAAGGUAACGGCUUACCAAGGCAACGAUGCGUAGCCGACCUGAGAGGGUGAUCGGCCACACUGGAACUGAGACACGGUCCAGACUCCUACGGGAGGCAGCAGUAGGGAAUCUUCCGCAAUGGGCGAAAGCCUGACGGAGCAACGCCGCGUGAAUGAUGAAGGUCUUCGGAUCGUAAAACUCUGUUAUUAGGGAAGAACAAAUGUGUAAGUAACUAUGCACGUCUUGACGGUACCUAAUCAGAAAGCCACGGCUAACUACGUGCCAGCAGCCGCGGUAAUACGUAGGUGGCAAGCGUUAUCCGGAAUUAUUGGGCGUAAAGCGCGCGUAGGCGGUUUUUUAAGUCUGAUGUGAAAGCCCACGGCUCAACCGUGGAGGGUCAUUGGAAACUGGAAAACUUGAGUGCAGAAGAGGAAAGUGGAAUUCCAUGUGUAGCGGUGAAAUGCGC